GGUGUGUUGUUGCAAGGUAAAAGUCAUUUUCAAAGUAAAGUGCUUUUAGGGUCUUGAAAAGUGCUAUAUAAAUGCAAUCCAUUAUUAUUAUUAAAAGACACCUUGGGAAAGUUAAAUUUGCUUCGUUGUACUCUGGACUCUGAAAGUGGGAUCAGGCUAUAAAGAGCCAGCGAUGAAGAGAUUUGAUCUUAUUUAAGCAAAGAGGGCAGGUGCUGGUCCACAAUGCCCAACACAAAUAUCGGCAAAACAAACGAAACAAAACUGUGGUUAAAUGGUUCACAAACUUCACCCAUUUGUUGCACCACAGAAACUGAUGCACAUUAGUGCGUAAGAUGUUAAAAGUCACAGAUUUAGCUGGAAAACAUGAGAUUUGCAGAAAUAAUUACUUUCUUUCUUCCUCACACCAUCCAGCUCACCCUCUGCUCUGACACAAAAACGGCACAUACAACGUGAGACAACAGAUCGGACAGCAUCGUCACACACAGAACAAGGUUUUUUUUAGCUUCUGUAUGUAACUUGACCUGGAGAGCUCUGCGCAAAUGGCAAAUAAAAAUCUUGAAUCUCUGAUCUUGUUAAUUUAACUAUAGAACAUUUUGAUACUCCAAAGUUUGUUUCAGUAGGUUUGUGCUUUGCCAGUUUCAAAUUGUGUAACAUAAACUAUCUCAUACAUACUUAUGAGUUCAGGCUUUUAGGCCUUUCUGGGAUUUGAAGUGUGGCUGAUGAUCGCGUUUUAGUAAAUCUGUCAAUAAAACUAAUAAUAACGGUUUCAUUCUUCUUUCAAAGAUGGUUCCUGAUAGAGAAGAGAAUCACAGGAAGCAAACUUUACACAAACACACUGUGAUACCGCUCUGACUGCAGCUUUGUCAGCACUUACCCUCAGUUGUAGUUUGGAUUUCAGCUUCUCCUCCGACAUCUCAAAGCCAAAUCAGAAAUGUCCUCAGUUUUCUGCUCUUUUCAACUUCGUUCUGCUUCAGAAAAACUGGUUCUUUGACACUUGAGAGUUUUGAUCAUUUGCCAAGUUAACUUUGCCACUCCUACAGAAAACCUGCACAAAGAGGAAUUUCAAUCUGGAAAAUAGCCAAGUCGCCUCAUUUGAUGAACCUCAACCUGCGUCACUGAAAACAGAUGUUUGCCAUCAGAGAAAAUGAAUGCGACUGAACCUGUGGAUAAAUGAAUACAACAAAUAUCAAGAGAGAGAGAGAAAAAAGCAGGUGCUGGGCCUGGAGGACAGGGGGAUCUGGACCAGACCACAGCUGAAGACCGCACUUGGGCGCAACUUCUGUCAGCAAAGAACAGGAAACUGUUCACAUGAGAUCAACAAAAGUGGAAAACAGAAGAUUGAAAAAUGUUGCCUGGUCUGAUGGAAUUUGUCUUAAACAUAACAUGAAAACAUGGAUCCAUCCUGCCUUGUAUCAGGAAAUCUGAGCAAAUGACACCACAACUUUAAAAAAUACUUGCAGCUCGCACAUUAACGUGAAGA
Oreochromis niloticus (Nile tilapia) is the source of this 1480-nucleotide long non-coding RNA. RefSeq lists it as uncharacterized. NCBI's taxonomy places the organism in Eukaryota, Metazoa, Chordata, Actinopteri, Cichliformes, Cichlidae. The transcript has 3 exons. The record is from RefSeq and is a predicted model, not a curated record.